RNAcentral lists this ribosomal RNA (460 nucleotides) under uncultured bacterium. Its description in RNAcentral is "partial 16S ribosomal RNA". It matches the Rfam family "Bacterial small subunit ribosomal RNA", at positions 338 to 795 of the family's 1533-position model. The record is from RNAcentral.
CCUACGGGUGGCUGCAGUGAGGAAUAUUGGUCAAUGGGCGCGAGCCUGAACCAGCCAAGUCGCGUGAGGGAAGACGGCCCUACGGGUUGUAAACCUCUUUUGCCGGGGAGCAACGGGCGCCACGUGUGGCGCCACUGAGAGUACCCGGAGAAAAAGCAUCGGCUAACUCCGUGCCAGCAGCCGCGGUAAUACGGGGGAUGCUGGCGUUAUCCGGAUUUGUGGGGUUUAAAGGAGGCGUAGGCGGAGCGUUAAGUCAGUGGUCAAAUUGAGGGGUUAAACCCUUUCCCGCCAUUGAAACUGGCGCUCUUGAGUGGAAGAGAAGUAUGCGGAAUGCGUGGUGUAGCGGUGAAAUGCAUAGAUAUAACGCAGAACCCCGAUUGCGAAGGCAGCAUGCCGGCUUCCGACUGACGCUGAAGCACGAAAGCGUGGGGAUCGAACAGGAUUAGAUACCCCAGUAGUC